RNAcentral lists this ribosomal RNA (254 nucleotides) under uncultured bacterium. Its description in RNAcentral is "partial 16S ribosomal RNA". It matches the Rfam family "Bacterial small subunit ribosomal RNA", at positions 103 to 354 of the family's 1533-position model. The record is from RNAcentral.
CGGGUGAGUAACACGUGAGCAACCUGCCUUUCAGUGGGGGACAACAGUUGGAAACGACUGCUAAUACCGCAUAACGUGCCCGGAAGGGCAUCCUUUUGGUACCAAAGAUUUAUCGCUGAAAGAUGGGCUCGCGUCUGAUUAGAUAGGUGGUGAGGUAACGGCCCACCAAGUCGACGAUCAGUAGCCGGACUGAGAGGUUGAGUCGGCCACAUUGGGACCUGAGACACGGCCCAGACUCCUACGGAAGGCAGCAG